GAAUGCUGACAUAAGUAACGAUAAAGCGGGUGAAAAGCCCGCUCGCCGGAAGACCAAGGGUUCCUGUCCAACGUUAAUCGGGGCAGGGUGAGUCGACCCCUAAGGCGAGGCCGAAAGGCGUAGUCGAUGGGAAACGGGUUAAUAUUCCCGUACUUGGUGUUACUGCGAAGGGGGGACGGAGAAGGCUAUGUUGGCCGGGCGACGGUUGUCCCGGUUUAAGCGUGUAGGUGUGUGUUCCAGGUAAAUCCGGUUCACUUUAACACUGAGGCGUGAUGACGAGGCACUACGGUGCUGAAGCAACAAAUGCCCUGCUUCCAGGAAAAGCCUCUAAGCAUCAGGUAACAUCAAAUCGUACCCCAAACCGACACAGGUGGUCAGGUAGAGAAUACCAAGGCGCUUGAGAGAACUCGGGUGAAGGAACUAGGCAAAAUGGUGCCGUAACUUCGGGAGAAGGCACGCUGACACGUAGGUGAAGUGAUUUACUCAUGGAGCUGAAGUCAGUCGAAGAUACCAGCUGGCUGCAACUGUUUAUUAAAAACACAGCACUGUGCAAACACGAAAGUGGACGUAUACGGUGUGACGCCUGCCCGGUGCCGGAAGGUUAAUUGAUGGGGUCAGCGCAAGCGAAGCUCCUGAUCGAAGCCCCGGUAAACGGCGGCCGUAACUAUAACGGUCCUAAGGUAGCGAAAUUCCUUGUCGGGUAAGUUCCGACCUGCACGAAUGGCGUAAUGAUGGCCAGGCUGUCUCCACCCGAGACUCAGUGAAAUUGAACUCGCUGUGAAGAUGCAGUGUACCCGCGGCAAGACGGAAAGACCCCGUGAACCUUUACUAUAGCUUGACACUGAACAUUGAGCCUUGAUGUGUAGGAUAGGUGGGAGGCUUUGAAGUGUGGACGCCAGUCUGCAUGGAGCCGACCUUGAAAUACCACCCUUUAAUGUUUGAUGUUCUAACGUGGACCCGUAAUCCGGGUUGCGGACAGUGUCUGGUGGGUAGUUUGACUGGGGCGGUCUCCUCCUAAAGAGUAACGGAGGAGCACGAAGGUUGGCUAAUCCUGGUCGGACAUCAGGAGGUUAGUGCAAUGGCAUAAGCCAGCUUGACUGCGAGCGUGACGGCGCGAGCAGGUGCGAAAGCAGGUCAUAGUGAUCCGGUGGUUCUGAAUGGAAGGGCCAUCGCUCAACGGAUAAAAGGUACUCCGGGGAUAACAGGCUGAUACCGCCCAAGAGUUCAUAUCGACGGCGGUGUUUGGCACCUCGAUGUCGGCUCAUCACAUCCUGGGGCUGAAGUAGGUCCCAAGGGUAUGGCUGUUCGCCAUUUAAAGUGGUACGCGAGCUGGGUUUAGAACGUCGUGAGACAGUUCGGUCCCUAUCUGCCGUGGGCGCUGGAGAACUGAGGGGGGCUGCUCCUAGUACGAGAGGACCGGAGUGGACGCAUCACUGGUGUUCGGGUUGUCAUGCCAAUGGCACUGCCCGGUAGCUAAAUGCGGAAGAGAUAAGUGCUGAAAGCAUCUAAGCACGAAACUUGCCCCGAGAUGAGUUCUCCCUGAGACUUAGAGUCUCCUGAAGGAACGUUGAAGACGACGACGUUGAUAGGCCGGGUGUGUAAGCGCAGCGAUGCGUUGAGCUAACCGGUACUAAUGAACCGUGAGGCUUAACCUUACAACGCCGAAG
This 1667-nucleotide ribosomal RNA is filed under the name Salmonella enterica subsp. enterica serovar Paratyphi B var. L(+) tartrate +. RNAcentral's name for it is "partial 23S ribosomal RNA". It matches the Rfam family "Bacterial large subunit ribosomal RNA", at positions 1292 to 2925 of the family's 2925-position model. The record is from RNAcentral. Lineage: Bacteria; Pseudomonadati; Pseudomonadota; Gammaproteobacteria; Enterobacterales; Enterobacteriaceae.